This 465-nucleotide ribosomal RNA is filed under the name Vreelandella stevensii. Its description in RNAcentral is "partial 16S ribosomal RNA". It matches the Rfam family "Bacterial small subunit ribosomal RNA", at positions 338 to 795 of the family's 1533-position model. Lineage: Bacteria; Pseudomonadati; Pseudomonadota; Gammaproteobacteria; Oceanospirillales; Halomonadaceae. The record is from RNAcentral.
CCUACGGGGGGCUGCAGUGGGGAAUAUUGGACAAUGGGGGCAACCCUGAUCCAGCCAUGCCGCGUGUGUGAAGAAGGCCCUCGGGUUGUAAAGCACUUUCAGUGAGGAAGAACGCCUGGUGGUUAAUACCCAUCAGGAAAGACAUCACUCACAGAAGAAGCACCGGCUAACUCCGUGCCAGCAGCCGCGGUAAUACGGAGGGUGCGAGCGUUAAUCGGAAUUACUGGGCGUAAAGCGCGCGUAGGUGGCUUGAUAAGCCGGUUGUGAAAGCCCCGGGCUCAACCUGGGAACGGCAUCCGGAACUGUCAAGCUAGAGUGUAGGAGAGGAAGGUAGAAUUCCCGGUGUAGCGGUGAAAUGCGUAGAGAUCGGGAGGAACACCAGUGGCGAAGGCGGCCUUCUGGACUGACACUGACACUGAGGUGCGAAAGCGUGGGUAGCAAACAGGAUUAGAUACCCGUGUAGUC